Molecule: RNA transcript, 3684 nt
Organism: Erigeron canadensis
Lineage: Eukaryota; Viridiplantae; Streptophyta; Magnoliopsida; Asterales; Asteraceae
Gene name: pentatricopeptide repeat-containing protein At1g71210, mitochondrial-like
Exons: 4
Source: RefSeq, a predicted model, not a curated record
CAAAAUAAUCUUUUACAUCACAUUUAGUUUUAAUUUUGGUUUUUAUUUUUUAUCUUUACUCCAUUUGUACAAUAUGUUUUCCAGCAACGCCCUCUGACGUCAUCAACCCUCGCUGUCUGUGCAUAUCUUAUGAAGCGAUGUUGAUGCAGUAGCUUACAAACAAAUCGACUUCACAAAUAAUGGUAAGACUAAGAUACCUCAUUCAAACAUCCAUCAGGGCUCUUAUUUCUUCUCAAAAUAACAAUUCCUUCCACUACUCAACCAUAGUCGCAUCUGCUGCUGGCAAUGCCGUCCCUGUAAACCCAUCAUUUUCGUCAAAUCUGUCACCAGCGAAGAAGUUACAUGUGGAGGAUGUGGUGGUGUCAUUCCAAGAAUGGUUUAAAGUUAGCCGGAAACCGCUUUUUGACCAGAUAAUUCGAAUUUUAUCUUCUUCUGGCAGCAUAAGCGGCGUUGGUGAAAAUAAAGAUUUUAUGGCACAACGUGAAACCAUUGAUGAUGAAUUGUCACGGUUAAAUCUCAUUCUCAAUGAAGCAUUUGUACUUGAUGUGUUGUACUACAUGAAAGAUGUGUUGGCUUGCUUAAAGUUCUUUGAUUGGGCUGGCCGGCAACCCGGGUUUCAGCAUACACGAGCUACGUUUAAUACAAUUUUCAAGAUUCUUUCUAAGGCAAAGUUAAUGUCUUUGAUGCUGGAUUAUUUGGAUGACUAUGCUAAGCAUCGAGGGAGUCAUAAAACUAAUUUUCAUAGCAUGUUGGUUAUGGGUUAUGCCGUGGCAGGAAAACCCGAAAUUGCCCUCCAGUUGUAUGGCCGGAUGCAUUACCAGGGUAUUGAUUUAGACAGUUUUGCUUACCAUGUGCUUUUAAACGGUCUUGUAGAAGGAAGUUAUUUUGAUGGAGUUGAGUCUGUAGCAAAACAGAUUAAAAAUCGCGGCUUUGAAUCAGAGGUCACUCAUUCUAUAUUGGUUAAGGGUUUUUGCAGGAAAAAAGAGUUUGAGAGAGCCGAAACGUAUGUUCGUGGGGUUAUAAAUGAUGGGACUAAAGUAAAGAAUGGAGGGUACAUAGUUGGUGCUCUUGUAGAUGGGUUAUGUAAAAAUGAUCAAUUCGAUAAGGCUGGGAAAUUAGUAGAUGAAUAUAGGGAUUUUAAAGUUUAUGAUAUAUGGAUUCGAGAGCUUGUACGGAUCCGGAAGUUAGAUGGGGCUCUGGAAUUUUUACAAAAGACAAGAAACACUGAUCAUUAUGUUCCAAAUGUUUUUCGUUACAACACGUUAAUAUUAAGGCUUUUGAGAGAAAUCCGACUUGAAGAAGUGUGUGAUUUGAUAAUUGAGAUGAAGGAAAGCAAUAUAUCCCCAGAUGAACUUACGAUGAAUAUCAUUUUAUGCUUCUUUUGCAAGGCAGGAAUGGUUGAUGUUGCUCUUAGAUUAUAUGAUUCACGAGGGGAGAUUGGGUUAUCAUUAAGUAGCAUGUCGUUUAAUUAUCUAAUGAAUACCCUUUGUGGGGAGGGAAGUGUUUCUGAUGCGUAUCGCAUUUUAAAGAAUGUACUUGAGCAAGGGUAUUUCCCUAGUGUUACAACGAUUUCUAUCAUUGCAGAUGCUUUUUGUAAGCUUGAAAAGCUUGACAUGAUGACCGACUUGUUUCGUGUAGCCUUAGAGAAUAAUGUUGUAUUGAAUGAUAAAGUUUAUGAAAGUUACAUUAAGACCUUUUGUAAGACUGGUAGAGUGGAAGAAGGUUAUUUUAUACACCGUGAGCUUAAUCAAUGCAAUAAAGUUACAUCCAGGUUUGCAUAUUACAGUUUGAUAAAAGGGUUUAUAAAGUCGAGUAGAGGAGACAUUGCUGCAAGAUUACUGAUCGAAAUGCAAGAAAAAGGCCACAGCACACCCCGUUCAUUGUUAAGGUCAGUUAUUCAAAGUGUAUGUGAGAUGGAGAAUCCCGAGAAGCAAUUUCAAAAGCUAUUGGAAAUGCAGUUAUGUCUUCAUGAACUUGAUUGUGGGAUUUUCAACAUCUUCAUAGAAGGAGCUGGCCUUGCUAAAAAAUCUGAUCUUGCAAGAGAAGUAUAUAUGAUCAUGAGUAGAAGUGGGAUUUCUCCUAAUGUGAGUUCCGACAUUCUGCUGUUGAAAAGUUAUCUAAAUAGUGGAAAAGUUUCCGAUGCUAUACACUUUUUCAAUGAUAUCUUGAAAAGAGAUAUCGGGAGAAAAGUCUGCAAUACCUUAGUUAUCGGUCUUUGCAAAGCAAAUAAACCAGAAUUGGCAUUGGAAAUCUUUUCAGAAAUUAGAGAAAUAGCACAAACGGUCAGACCGAGUCUCGAAUGUUACGAAGAACUUAUUUAUGCUCUAUGCAAACGUAAACAAUAUAAAAAGAUCAUGGAUUUAGUUAAGGACUUGAUUACAGUCAGGCGGCCAGUUUCAUCCUUUAUUGGUAACAAUUUGCUUCUUACUUCUUUAACUGACCGGGAGCUAUAUGACACAUGGGUUGACUCUGGGACUGUUAGCGAGUCAUCUCCUAUUUGGAAAAUUCAUGAGAUUGUUGGUUUGUUCUCUGACCGUUUUAAAGAUGACAUAAAUCCAGAUGACUUGGAAGAAGUAGUGGGGAAUUGUUUUCCGAUGGAUAUAUACACUUAUAAUAUGCUUAUAAGGAAAUUAAGUGUUAAUCAAGUAGAUGAUGCUUGCAAGUUGUUUCAGAAGUUACGUCAGAAGGGGUAUGAGCCGAAUCAGUGGACAUUUGAAACUUUGGUGCAUGGAUUUUACAGACAGGGUAGGAAAAAGGAUGCCAAGAUGUGGGUGCAGAAGAUGUUAGGAAGAGGGUUUCAUCCAAGUGCGGCUACAAAAGUAUUACUUUAAAGUUGGUUAUGAAGUUUCAUACGUGAAGAAACCAAGGCACAUAAAAUAUGGGCGAUUAUGAUAAGAAUUUUCUCAUGUUAAGGAUGGACCUGGCAAACUUUGAUAAGGGUGUGACAGUACCCAUGACCUAGAGCCUCUUUCUGGUCCAGCCAGUGUAUACGUUCUCACAACAGCUAUUAUCACAUUGCUUUGAGAAUAUUUUAGACGAGCCUUCAUACGUGAAACCAUAUUUGACCAGACAUAGGCCCAUGUUUGUUAUAAAGGUAUGCAGUCCAUUUUUUGGUCUCAGUUUCCUUUCCUUUUUAACUUUUUAUUGCUUGUCAAGAGUAUGGAACUUACUCUUCUUUGCUGCAUCUCAUGAAUUGAUUCCACAUAUUGAACACUGCUAAGGCUUAUUUUUGGCAUUUUGGCUGCUGAUCGUUGCAACAGUGUGUUUGUCUCUACUAACCUUCAUUCAUAUCUGAUAAUGGAUGGUGUAAUGUAGAUAGCAGAUACUUUCACUACCGCUUGAAGAAUAUAUUGGUUAGUAAUGUAGGGAAACAAUCAAGAAUGAGAUGGGAUACGCUUUGCACCUCAGGUGCGUCGCUUCCGGCUCGUUAGGUUCUAGUUAGCACCUUUUGUCUUAAUGAAGAAGCUGGCAUUUGACUUUUGAGUUUGUAUUGAAUUACUUUUUAUUUUAAGAAGAAUAACCGAGUUAUGAAGGCAAUAGAACAUUGGAACCUACCAGAGUCGCUGCUGUGUACUUUGUACUUUGUAAUGUAUUGAUUUCUAGUUGCUUCAAUAUUGUAUGUUCUUUGCUUCUUGUAGCGUCUAGAUGGGUUUACGAGGGUGGCAUGUUGCCUUAUGUUUUGCA